CACGGGGGGAGCAAGCGUUGUUCGGAAUCACUGGGCGUAAAGGGCGUGUAGGCGGUCAAGUAAGUGGAAUGUGAAAUCCCUCGGCUUACCCGAGGACCUGCAUCCCAAACUGCUUGGCUUGAGUACGGGAGAGGAUGAGGGAAUUCCUGGUGUAGCGGUGAAAUGCGUAGAUAUCAGGAGGAACACCGGUGGCGAAGGCGCUCAUCUGGCCCGAUACUGACGCUGAGACGCGAAAGCGUGGGGAGCGAACAGG
Molecule: ribosomal RNA, 253 nt
Filed under: uncultured bacterium
Lineage: Bacteria
Description: partial 16S ribosomal RNA
Rfam family: Bacterial small subunit ribosomal RNA
Source: RNAcentral